This 72-nucleotide transfer RNA is filed under the name Basidiobolus meristosporus CBS 931.73. It matches the Rfam family "tRNA". From Rfam's summary of the family: Transfer RNA (tRNA) molecules are approximately 80 nucleotides in length. Their secondary structure includes four short double-helical elements and three loops (D, anti-codon, and T loops). Lineage: Eukaryota; Fungi; Basidiobolomycota; Basidiobolomycetes; Basidiobolales; Basidiobolaceae. The record is from Rfam by way of RNAcentral.
GGGGGUCUAGCUCAGAUGGUAGAGCGCUCGCUUAGCAUGCGAGAGGCACUGGAUCGAUACCCAGGUCCUCCA